This 265-nucleotide long non-coding RNA is filed under the name Homo sapiens (human). Its description in RNAcentral is "HSALNT0115340". Lineage: Eukaryota; Metazoa; Chordata; Mammalia; Primates; Hominidae. The record is from RNAcentral.
UUUAAACUCAGAAAAAUUUGAAAAAACCUUAAACAUUCAGUUCUAAAAGUAGGCAGAAUAGUAUCAAGUUCUGCUGUUUCUGUGGUAAGAAAUGGAUAAAGGGAAGCCAGGUUUUUGAGGACUAGAAAGGAUUUGUUUUUCAAAACUGUACAGUCCUGUACUAUUUCGAUUCCCUACUCUUCCAAAAAGCAAAAAAGUUUUAAAAUGGUAUCCUUCUAGCUACUCUCUAGUCUUAAAAUUAAACCUCCCAAAUAUAUGAAUUCUG